Long non-coding RNA from Camelus dromedarius (Arabian camel), 4258 nucleotides. RefSeq lists it as uncharacterized. The record is from RefSeq and is a predicted model, not a curated record. NCBI's taxonomy places the organism in Eukaryota, Metazoa, Chordata, Mammalia, Artiodactyla, Camelidae. The transcript is spliced from 7 exons.
UACAAAUGUUCACACCAGAAUUAAUCCUAAUAGACAAAAAGACUACAAAUUUGUGGGGACACCAGACCCGCCCCUGGGGUCACGAGAGCCAAUCCAGGCGCACGCUUCUCGGCCCCGCCCCGGCGUCCUCCUCCACACCGUCCCUCCCUCCGCCCACCCGAAAGUCAGUUUGUCAGGCGGGCAGGGGGCAUCCUGUCCGAGCAGCUGGCGGUUCUGCGGUUCUCCCUAGCGGCGCUGGCCCUGCUCCCUCUGGCCAGCCGCUGCGGCUGCAGCUGCAGCGGCGGCAGCGCAGUCCCUCUGGGAGGAGUGGUGUGGGCCGAGCGGCUGCCGCGGAGUUUCGUGCCCAGCGCUGCGGCAGCGGCGGCGGCGGCGGCGCGGCCCUGAGAUGGUCUGCGGGCAGGUAUCCGACGUGGGCAGCGCUCCAGCAACCUGCUACACCGUCGAGGGCUCCCCCGACGUGGUGUGGUGACCGGCCUGCCGGCCGCGCCCGCCCGCGCGGCCCCCCACCCGGCCUCGGCAGACGCAUCUGCGGCGUCGGCCCCACGACCCGCGACCCCAACCCCGAGCGCGGCCCCGACCCCCGCAGGGCUCCCCCGCAGUCCUCGCACCUGGGGUCUCGGGCAGGGCCGGGCUGUUCGAGCUGGGGCGUUGCUCGCGGCGCUUCCCGGGCCGGCCCUCGCUGGGCGCAGGGAGUGGGGGAGUGGUGCGGGGGUGGGGGUGGAGGCUGGGAACGAGGCCUCCAGGGACCCCCAGAACGGGAACGGGGCCCCCACCCCCGGGUACUCCUCGCAGCCUUCCCUUGACGUCGGACUGUGAAGCCGCGAAGUCCUUCAGGUGCUCGCGGCGGCGGCCGUGGUCUGGGAAGCGGUCGGCAGCGGCGUGUGUGCACAGCCCUGAAGUCAUCUUGUUUGCCCCCUCGCCUGCAUUUUCUGCGGCCGGCUUUGCUUCAGCACCUUCCGUGGUGCCAGGGCUGCUCUCCUGCGCAGCCUUUCUAAGCCGCAUGAGCGGCACCAGUGUUGGUGUGGAGUGUUUCAGUCUUGAAGUUUUUAAGUGGAUGUUGGUGUGGUACCGUUCGUGUUUCAGGAAGGAUGUACAAAGCAGGGUCAUCAGAAGCCUCUCAAUUCCAAAGAUGAUAAUAGUGAAAAAUAUUGCACAGUGACAGUGAAUCCUUGGCAUAUGAAGAAAAUUUGUAAAGUCCUGAAUGAAUUAAGAAGAGAAAAACAUAAGCCUAUGAAUCUAACCUCAUCUGUGAUGGUCUGCAGCUGGGAGCAACCAGAUCAGUGUCAGUCCCUUUGCAGCCAAUGGCUGGGAGCCUGCAUGUUACCCAAAAUGCUGGAAUCGCAUCUGAAAUAUGUCACCCCAGCCACGCCUUCACUGUGGGCUGGGAGGGGAGUCAGUCAGAAUCUGCAUUGUGGAAUGUUUUGGAUGACAAGCUUGUAUUUGCAAAAGUACACACCCUGUGGGAGGUGCUGUGUACAUACGCUGAGAUACUGCACAUAAAAUUACCUCUGAAGCCCAGUGAUCUGGAAACCUGGCUCUCAGCCUUCGAUAAUUUUGGCUGUUACAUGGAAGUCCUCCAAGUGGAUGAAAGUAUCAUCAAGCCAGAGCAAGAGUUUUUCAUUGCCCUAUUUGAGAAGAGCUGCGUGAAUGACUUUUAUAUUCAGGAUAGAGAUACGUUCUUCAAUCCAGCCAUCGGAAGCUGCAUUUGCAACUUCAGCCUCCGUCAGAGGACCUCAGCCGCCCCAGCGAACACGGCCUUCUGCACAGGGAACGGGCUCCUCGAAGCAUAGACAAGAAGCAGCCCUUAGAUCUCAUCAGGGCAUCUCAGAACUCACCACAGUGGUUCCCCCCUCUGGGAGAGCCUUGGCUACAGUUCCGGCUCUCUGCCCCGAGCACCCUCUGCUGACUGUUACACAAGCCAUCUUAACACGCCUCUUCAGCCAUCAUUUCACAAUGACUCCUGUGCACCUAGGAGCUCCCGGAAGCAGGUCCUUCGGACAGAUGAGACAGAGGAAUGUGAGGAGAAGGCUUGGACGGUGGACCGUGCACUGCUUUUAAAUCAUGACAGUUACUUGUGCUUUUUUUAAAAUUUCUUUUUUAAUGGAGGUUCUGGGGAUUGAACCCAGGACCUUGUACAUGCUAAGCACGUGCUCUACCACUGAGCUAUACCCACCCAUCCCCCGAUGUUUGUGUUUUUAGUGGGCAUAAUGUGCUGGUAGCAGGUACUUUAGCAUCAGACACAGUCACCUGCCUCUGGCCAUCACGUUAAUACCUUUCCCCUGAGCUAGAGAGCUAGAUAGUCUGUUUUCACAAGUUCAAUAAAUUACCUACAUUUUCUUUUUUCUUAAAAAAUGGCAUUAACUCAUGUUUCUCUUUAGUAUCGCCUAUAAAUAAAAUGUGAUUUUAUUAACCAUUUACCAAAGUGUUAAGGGUAAUAAAUAUUAAGUACAGAUUUCUGAAGCAUCAGUCAUCACUGAAGAUACACUUUCUGCUGUUCUUUCUCUCUGUUAUUCACUAUACUUCUGGAGCUCUGGAAGCGGCGCCAGGCAGAACUUUAGUACGAAUGGGACACAGUUGAGCGGGAAGAACAAGUCCGGCCAGAAUAGGAGGUGCGGUGUCCCCACGUGGAGACAGAUGAGAUUACCCAGGAAAAGCGGGAGCUGUUUAGAUGCACUUUAGUCUGUUUACUUCUGGGCUUGUCAGCCUUGGCUGCAUGUUGGAAUCACCAGGGGACCUUAAAAAAUGUUGGUGCCUGGAUUCCAUCACUGCAAACUCUGAUGGUACUUAGUGGCCUGGGGUGCAUUCUGGCAUAGGGAAGUUUUUAAAGCUCCUCUGGUUAUUCUAAUGUGCAGCCAAGUUGAAGGAGCACUGCCUGAAUUGGAGGACACAGAAGAGAAGUGUGGUCCUUCCUUCAUAUUAACAGUAAAAAGGGGGAGAAGAAAAAGACUGGUAUAAAUGUAUAAGAAAAGAGGCAUUGAUUUGUAUCCUUUCAUAAGCCCAAUAAGAAAAAGCAAAAAAAAAAAAAAAAAAAAAUUAGCCGCUAUGACAUGGAUGUAGAAGGAAAGACACAUUGGUUUUUAUAGUUGACUCCCAUUUUUUCACAUGUGCCUUCAUUAUUGCGGCCUCCUUUUCAUCGGAGACUAGGUGCCCCUUUGUCUUGAACUAAGCCCCGGUCACUGCUCCCCCUUCCGGUUGGGAUGUGCACAAAGCUCUCAUCCUAAAAUCAGAGAAAGGGUAGAGGAAGCAGGGAAACCUUUGUUGAGGUGCCAUCAGUGUUUGAGCUGUGUUUGAGAUAGGCAUUUUAUAUAAUUGGAAAUGUAAAUUAUUGCUGCCACUCCUGCUGCAAAAUUAAAAAAAAAAAACUGUAUAUCUUUGUAUCAACAUUCCAGAGCUAUGAAGAGAUGAUUUUUUGAGUCAUCUGUAUUAUUGCUUCUUUACAUCAGCUGAGAUAAUUUAGAGCUGAUGGUACUUGCAGUCCGCAGCAGCAGGACAGUAGGUUGUGAGCAUGAAUAACUCUUGGAAAGGAAAUGCUUUUAUUAGGAGCAUCUGAAAAUGUCUCCAACUAUAGAUUUUAUAAAUUGAAUCACAGAUCUACAGAAUGUUGGCACUGAAAAGGUCUGGAGGAAGCAGGUCAAUCUCCUCUUUUUAUAAAUGGAAAAAAGUGAGGUUCAGCUACCAAUAGAAAGUGACAUUUGUCUUUUACAAUGUAAUUAGCUUCUAAUAAUCCCCAUUAUGAAUACUUCCCAUUGUUUACAACUGAAGAGGGGGGUCAAAGCAUAUGUUGGUGAAAGACUGUACAUUCAGAGAUGAAAGCUGAUACUUAGACAAAAUUAGGCGCUCAUAAUGUUUUUGAGUCCUGAAAAACAAAAACGUAUCAUAUUGGAAGCAUAAAAAAAUACUGAAGAAAAGUUUUUUGGUCAUUUAAACUGCCAAUUUUAAAUUUAAAAUUGUCAACUAAUAAGUUUAAAUUUUCAUUGGAAAAUGCUUGUUGAAAAAUUAGAGAUGAAGACUCAUUUCACUUUAUCAUUCUUCGUUAUUUAAAAAAUUGUUUAAUUUUUGUUUUUUUAGUUUUUUACUUGAAGGGUUUUACUUUAAUUGUGAAUGCAUGUUCUAUUGUUUAGAGAGGCCAGCCUUGUGGUAGUGAGACCUUGAGAAUGAAGUUGCCUAAAUUUAUAUUUGAACACAGCAGCUUGCUUCCUGAGUGAUCUUGGACAACUUAACUUCUCUGUGCCAUAGUUUCCUAUAAAAUAAGAAUAAG